Musa acuminata AAA Group (dessert banana) is the source of this 1160-nucleotide long non-coding RNA. RefSeq lists it as uncharacterized. NCBI's taxonomy places the organism in Eukaryota, Viridiplantae, Streptophyta, Magnoliopsida, Zingiberales, Musaceae. The record is from RefSeq and is a predicted model, not a curated record. The transcript is spliced from 3 exons.
AGAUACCUUGGUGGGAUGGCAAAGGUGCCUACGUUCUGUUCUUCGCCAGGUCAAUACCAUGAUGGAGCGCAAUGGCCGUUCAUCUGCCAUUGGUUAUGACGCUUGCACUAAGCUCUAUUCACCAGUGUCUUAACGGACGAUUUAGACCGUUAUCGUGUGGUGCCGGGCGGCACCGGUGGAACACUGUAGCAUGACUGCUACAGUGUCUUAACGGACGAUUUCGACCGUUAUCGUGUGGUGCCGGGCGGUACCGAAUGGUGCAUGGCGGUACCGGUCGAACACUGUAGCAUUCUAGCCAUCCCCGUCGUGGUAGUUCAGAAAGGUCAUAGCGUCAUCAAGAACACGUUCUUCUCAGCUUGCAGUUGGCCUCUCAACCGAAUGGUGUCGCACCAUGCAGCAUGCGGCGACACGAGAGGUGAUGGAAAUACUCGUGACCCUGCAAAUAAACCGAUUAUAAAUAUCCUCUCCCACUUCUUCACUCCCCUUCAUCACUCUCGCUCCGUUCCUUGUGCAGAACACUAGCCCAUGGCCACCUCCCUUUACAUUGUCCUCUCUUUCUCUGUUUGGGUGCUCCUUCUCUUGCACAACUCACCAGCCCCACUUGGCUUGGGCCAGCAGCGAGCAGGUGAACCAUGGAUGAGUGCUCAUCACUACAGCCCCGUGAGCCACUGCAGAAUCGAUAAGCUAAGCGCCCUUGAGCUCACCCGACGUGUGCCCUCGGAAGCUGGGUACACGGAGUACUGUAACCAGUUUACUGAACAGCUCCAGUGUGUGGGUGUGGCUGCAUGUCGUCGUACCAUCCAACCGAGAGGCCUUCUCUUGCCAUCCAUUUCCAGCCCACCACGUCUCGUCUAUAUUGUGCAAGGAAGGGGAAUCAUUGGAACAGUGUUCCUUGGUUGCCUAGAGACGUUCCCAUCCUUCCAGCAACCCAAACAAAUAUGGGAGCAGGAGACAGGCAAAGAAUGUCAGAGGUUCCGAUACGAGCACCAGAUGAUCCACUGCCAUGAGGGAGACAUCAUCGCAUUGCCCGCUAGAGUUACUUAUUGGAGCUACAACAAUGCCGAGGACUCGGCAACUGUUGUUGCGAUUACCGUCACCGUCUUCGACACGAGCAGCAACGAUAUAUAUAUAUAUAUAUAUAUAUAUAUAUAUAUAUAUAU